ACAGCCAUAUAGUGUUGUAACAUUGGUUCCCAUACAAUUACUGAAGUUAAGCAAUGUCAAGCCUAGUCAGUACCUAGAUGUGUGACUACUUGGGAAUACCAGGUGCUGUAAG
Acanthosepion pharaonis is the source of this 112-nucleotide non-coding RNA. Lineage: Eukaryota; Metazoa; Mollusca; Cephalopoda; Sepiida; Sepiidae. The record is from the annotation of a GenBank genome assembly.